RNAcentral lists this ribosomal RNA (404 nucleotides) under uncultured bacterium. Its description in RNAcentral is "bacterial SSU rRNA". It matches the Rfam family "Bacterial small subunit ribosomal RNA", at positions 355 to 776 of the family's 1533-position model. The record is from RNAcentral.
UGGGGAAUAUUGCACAAUGGGGGAAACCCUGAUGCAGCAACGCCGCGUGAGUGAAGAAGUAUUUCGGUAUGUAAAGCUCUAUCAGCAGGGAAGAAAAUGACAGUACCUGACUAAGAAGCCCCGGCUAACUACGUGCCAGCAGCCGCGGUAAUACGUAGGGGGCAAGCGUUAUCCGGAUUUACUGGGUGUAAAGGGAGCGUAGACGGCUGCGCAAGUCAGAAGUGAAAGCCCGGGGCUCAACCGCGGGACUGCUUUUGAAACUGUGUAGCUAGAGUGCAGGAGAGGUAAGUGGAAUUCCUAGUGUAGCGGUGAAAUGCGUAGAUAUUAGGAGGAACACCGGUGGCGAAGGCGGCUUACUGGACUGUAACUGACGUUGAGGCUCGAAAGCGUGGGGAGCAAACAGG